This 451-nucleotide ribosomal RNA is filed under the name uncultured bacterium. Its description in RNAcentral is "bacterial SSU rRNA". It matches the Rfam family "Bacterial small subunit ribosomal RNA", at positions 335 to 799 of the family's 1533-position model. The record is from RNAcentral.
ACUCCUACGGGAGGCAGCAGUGGGGGAAUAUUGCACAAUGGGCGCAAGCCUGAUGCAGCAACGCCGUGUGAGUGAAGAAGGUUUUCGGAUCGUAAAACUCUGUCCUAAGGGAAGAAACAAAUGACGGUACCUUAGGAGGAAGCCCCGGCUAACUACGUGCCAGCAGCCGCGGUAAUACGUAGGGGGCAAGCGUUAUCCGGAAUCACUGGGCGUAAAGGGUGCGUAGGCGGCUUAGCAAGCCAGGGGUGAAAGGCAUUGGCUCAACCAAUGUAAGCCUUUGGAACUGUUAAGCUUGAGUGCAGGAGAGGUAAGUGGAAUUCCUAGUGUAGAGGUGAAAUUCGUAGAUAUUAGGAGGAACACCAGUGGCGAAGGCGACUUACUGGACUGUAACUGACGCUGAUGCACGAAAGCGUGGGUAGCGAACAGGAUUAGAUACCCUGGUAGCACAGAG